Molecule: long non-coding RNA, 735 nt
Organism: Tachysurus fulvidraco (yellow catfish)
Lineage: Eukaryota; Metazoa; Chordata; Actinopteri; Siluriformes; Bagridae
Exons: 4
Source: RefSeq, a predicted model, not a curated record
UGCGGUUAAGGGAAGCUGAAGCCUUUUCCCUAAGGACAGGACAGGGUACGGUGUGAUUUGAAUAACACGUAAAUAGGACAAAUCGUUGUUUUUUUUUUUUUACUUGGCAGAAAACAACAACAAAAACAACAUCCAGUUUCGUAUCCAAUAACAGGAUCGACUUUUAGUUCUUGGCAUGAAGAGUGAGACAGAAACAGUGAGUGUGCUGUAGAGCGGUACUACACGUGACUGCUGCUCAUGCUUAGCUAGUCUUCACAAGUCCCAGGAGACGACAAAUGUGCUGGUGAGCAUUCACAAAGCACAUUCUGCACAUUACAGCAGGGAAAGGAGGUCAGACCAGCUCACGAAGCCUGAAAUAACAGCCUUUUCAUCACAAUUGGUGUCCAUUUGCAGGAGCUCGUCCCGAAUAACCCUAUUACCCUACAAACAGAGCGACAGACUGGACAUCAUGUUCAGACCUGAUCAUUCAAGGGGUCAGCGUCAAGUAGUCGGCAGAGCAAAGCGAACACCUGCAGACCUGGGAAUAUGGAUGCAUCGAGGCAUGACGAGAGAAACACCCACCGAUUCUGUCUAACGUGCCGUUAUAAAUAAAACAUGCAAGACAGCUAUGGCAACCUGAGCAGACUAUAAAGUCUGCAGAAGAGUCAUAGACACUAGAGAACCAUCUGAAAUUUUCUACUCGGACGCACCGCUUUGAAAAAGACUCGGAGGACAAGGGCAAGCAAAUUCAUUCAG